UGGGGAAUAUUGCACAAUGGAGGGAACUCUGAUGCAGCGACGCCGCGUGAACGAAGAAGGCCUUCGAGUCGUAAAGUUCUUUUAUAUGGGAAGAUAAUGACGGUACCAUAAGAAGAAGCCCCGGCUAACUACGUGCCAGCAGCCGCGGUAAUACGUAGGGGGCUAGCGUUGUCCGGAAUCACUGGGCGUAAAGGGUUCGCAGGCGGAAAUGCAAGUCAGGUGUAAAAGGCAGUAGCUUAACUACUGUAAGCAUUUGAAACUGCAUAUCUUGAGAAGAGUAGAGGUAAGUGGAAUUUUUAGUGUAGCGGUGAAAUGCGUAGAUAUUAAAAAGAAUACCGGUGGCGAAGGCGACUUACUGGGCUCAUUCUGACGCUGAGGAACGAAAGCGUGGGUAGCAAACAGG
RNAcentral lists this ribosomal RNA (403 nucleotides) under Bacteroidota bacterium. RNAcentral describes it as "Bacteroidetes bacterium partial 16S ribosomal RNA". It matches the Rfam family "Bacterial small subunit ribosomal RNA", at positions 355 to 776 of the family's 1533-position model. The record is from RNAcentral. Lineage: Bacteria; Pseudomonadati; Bacteroidota.